RNAcentral lists this ribosomal RNA (253 nucleotides) under uncultured bacterium. RNAcentral's name for it is "partial 16S ribosomal RNA". It matches the Rfam family "Bacterial small subunit ribosomal RNA", at positions 524 to 776 of the family's 1533-position model. The record is from RNAcentral.
UACAGAGGUCUCAAGCGUUGUUCGGAUUCAUUGGGCGUAAAGGGUGCGUAGGCGGCGCGGUAAGUCGGGUGUGAAAUCUCGGGGCUUAACUCCGAAACUGCAUUCGAUACUACCGUGCUUGAGGACUGGAGAGGAGACUGGAAUUUACGGUGUAGCGGUGAAAUGCGUAGAUAUCGUAAGGAAGACCAGUGGCGAAGGCGGGUCUCUGGACAGUUACUGACGCUGAGGCACGAAGGCCAGGGGAGCAAACGGG